This is a long non-coding RNA of Cavia porcellus (domestic guinea pig), 2120 nucleotides long. RefSeq lists it as uncharacterized. The record is from RefSeq and is a predicted model, not a curated record. Lineage: Eukaryota; Metazoa; Chordata; Mammalia; Rodentia; Caviidae. The transcript has 4 exons.
CAGAGACCUGGGCCCAGCAGCCAGGCUCCCAGGCUUGGGGAACCUCAGAACUCCCUAGGACUUAUCGGCCCUUUUCGCUUCAGUCAGUCUGCUUUCCUCCACGCCUGCGUGAGGCUGAAUUAAGGGAGAGAGUGGCAGGAGAAGGAUACUGGGGCAGCCCGACUGGGACAGGAGUACAGAAGCUGUGAGGUCACGCCUUCCUGUCCUUAGCGUGGGACUGUCCCCGCUCAUGGACACCACCAUACAACUUCCCUAUGGCCUCCAGAUGAGUAAAAAGGAAAAACUCUGGCAUUUUUCACUUUCUUGGCGUCUUCCACCUCCUCCAUCCUCACACCCACGCUGGAAUGUAGACAGCUCUGCACGGUAUAGAGAUUGCACCAGGGGCCCAAACAGGGUCAUCAACUGCCCAUCAUCUCAGCGCCUUGGGCUCUGUCUCCUGGAUACCAGGGGUCCAGAGGAGGAGCUACCCUAUGACCUGUUCUUCCACACCUGUAAGACAGAGAUGGGGAAACUGAGGCACGGAGCAGGAGAAGGCUUUCCCUAGGUUGCACAGUGAGUCAGUGACACAGACUGGGUUACAACUUGCCUUUCCAAACUGGCUGUGGCGGUGCAUACCUGUAAUCCCAGCACUCAGGAGGCUGAGGCAGAAGGAUCAUGGAGUUCAAGGCCAGCCCAGGCUAUAUGUGUUUUCGGGCAGCCUGAAGGACAUAGCAAGACCCUGUUUCAAAAAACAAAACAAAAACCUUGCCCUUCCAGAUCCCCUAACCCACAAGCUAGUGUUCACCUUAAAACUUCUUUGCUUUGGGGAUGUGUGUGUGGGCAUGUGUGUGUAUGUGCAUGCUAGAGCUUAUGCAUGCAGAACCAAGAUGAGAAAAUGUGACCUCCUGUCACACACUGGUUGUCUUGGACACCUGUAGAAGCCACAAGAUUUCGGGACUUCAAACCCAGGUGUGUGCUGUUGACACCUUAUAGUCUCUACUUCUGAAGCCUCAGCCACCAAAUUUCCACAGUGAGGACACUGCAAAGUGCACUGUCAAUCUGUGGGCAGUUGGCGUGUGCACACGUGUGUGUCUGUGUGUCUGUGUCUCUGUGUGUGUUUGUGUGUGUGUGCACAUGUGUGCCAGGGCCUCAUGCAGGCGCUACCACAGAGCCACAGCCCUGGGCCCGGGCUUGGCCUCUCUUAUCCUGGCUCCUGGGCUGGGAACCGGGUGAGACAGGAGCUGAUGUUCAGAUGGGCGCUUCCUGCAUCCUCCAUGUUAAUAAUGGCCCCAAGUCGUCACACCAGGGGGAACAGGAAGUUGCUUGUCAGGCUGCAGAGUCUCAAAUGCUGACUUCCAUUCAGGUGACCUCCCCAGGCCUGACAGCUGGCUGUGGUCCUGGUGGGGAGGGGCCCAGAGGAGCCGUUGUAUUUUUUUUUUUAGGUACUGGGGAUUGAACUCACGAUCUCAUGCUUGCCAGGCAGGUGCUUAUACUGCUGAGCUAAAUCCCCAGACCUGUACUUUUUUAUUAUUGUCAUUCUGGGGAUUGAACCCAUGGCUUUUGCACUGAAUUACAUUCUCCCCAGCCCCUUUGUAAAAUGUAUUUGGAGAUAAGUUCUCACUAAAUCAUAAGUUGUCCAGGGUGGGCUUAAGCUGGCCAUCCUCCUGCCUUGGCCUUCCAGAAUGCUGGGUUUACAGGUAUGGUCUACCACACCUGGCUCCAGCUAAGUCUUCUGAGAAGGUAAAGAGGACCCCAAGGCUCUCCAGGGAUAGGACACGGCCCUGAGGUCACAGCAGCACAGUGCUGUUCACAGAUGGACCUGCGCUCAAAAUCUGAGUGAAAAAAUAAGGCUUCUGGACCAUGGACUUAAUAGCAAGGGGCCCCAACCCCAACCCUUCUGCUGAGCCAGAAGCCCCCACAGACCAUCACCAAGAUCCACAAAACAGAUCCAUUAGGCAAAUCCUGGUAUCUGUCCCUAUUUCACAGAUGAGGAAACUGAGACCAAAGAGGAGCAGGCAUAAGACAAACAAUGAAUCAUCCAACCCCUAACCCCAUAACCUGAGAUGCUGGGCCGAGUUGUCAGGAAACAGAGGAUCAGGUUGUCUGGUGGGAGCUUGGGGUCUUCCUUGUGGAAGGCUGAA